GGGGGUGCACUGGUUUCGACUGGGGUAUGGUUGAGACAGGGAUUGCAGGUAGAGUGCCAAUCUCUCCAAAAAAUGGCAAACCUUUAACUGCCAACAACGCAGAUUACGCACUGGCUGCCUGAUUAGAGCAGUCACGGGUACCCGGGGUGCUGUUCCGAACACCGGAGUGCCUGUCACAAAUCGGGACUUACCUGGCUUUAGGGCUGCAUUCAGUCAGGGACACUUAAGCAGCCUCAGGCGAAAAGCGGCGGGCCGUCCAGCCAACUUUACGCUGAAAAAUUAAAGGACGGCUAAGCCUGUAGAGAUCCUUGAAUCGCGCUUCAGGACGCGGGUUCGAUUCCCGCCACCUCCA
RNAcentral lists this transfer-messenger RNA (352 nucleotides) under subsurface metagenome. RNAcentral describes it as "transfer-messenger RNA, SsrA". It matches the Rfam family "transfer-messenger RNA". From Rfam's summary of the family: Bacterial tmRNA, also known as 10Sa RNA or SsrA, is named for its dual tRNA and mRNA-like properties. The record is from RNAcentral.